This 468-nucleotide ribosomal RNA is filed under the name uncultured bacterium. Its description in RNAcentral is "partial 16S ribosomal RNA". It matches the Rfam family "Bacterial small subunit ribosomal RNA", at positions 28 to 507 of the family's 1533-position model. The record is from RNAcentral.
GACGAACGCUGGCGGCGUGCUUAACACAUGCAAGUCGAACGGAAAGGCCCUGCUUUUGUGGGGUGCUCGAGUGGCGAACGGGUGAGUAGCACGUGAGUAACCUGCCCUUGACUUUGGGAUAACUUCAGGAAACUGGGGCUAAUACCGGAGAGGAGCUCCUGCUGCAUGGUGGGGGUUGGAAAGUUUCGGCGGUUGGGGAUGGACUCGGGGCUUAUCAGCUUGUUGGUGGGGUAGUGGCUUACCAAGGCUUUGACGGGUCGCCGGCCUGAGAGGGUGACCGGGGACAUUGGGACUGAGAUACGGCCCAGAGUCCAACGGGAGGCAGCAGUGGGGAAUAUUGCCCAAUGGGCGGAAGCCUGAUGCAGCAACGCCGGGUGCGGGAUGAAGGCCUUCGGGUUGUAAACCGCUUUCGCCUGUGACGAAGCGUGAGUGACGGUAAUGGGUAAAGAAGCACCGGCUAACUACGUG